RNAcentral lists this ribosomal RNA (672 nucleotides) under Vibrio diabolicus. RNAcentral's name for it is "partial 23S ribosomal RNA". The stretch from base 1 to 592 matches the Rfam family "Bacterial large subunit ribosomal RNA", at positions 2339 to 2925 of the family's 2925-position model. The record is from RNAcentral. Lineage: Bacteria; Pseudomonadati; Pseudomonadota; Gammaproteobacteria; Vibrionales; Vibrionaceae.
CGUGAGGUUAGUGCAAUGGCAUAAGCCCGCUUGACUGCGAGAAUGACAAUUCGAGCAGGUGCGAAAGCAGGUCAUAGUGAUCCGGUGGUUCUGAAUGGAAGGGCCAUCGCUCAACGGAUAAAAGGUACUCCGGGGAUAACAGGCUGAUACCGCCCAAGAGUUCAUAUCGACGGCGGUGUUUGGCACCUCGAUGUCGGCUCAUCACAUCCUGGGGCUGAAGUCGGUCCCAAGGGUAUGGCUGUUCGCCAUUUAAAGUGGUACGCGAGCUGGGUUUAGAACGUCGUGAGACAGUUCGGUCCCUAUCUGCCGUGGGCGUUGGAGAAUUGAAAGGGGCUGCUCCUAGUACGAGAGGACCGGAGUGGACGAACCUCUGGUGUUCGGGUUGUGUCGCCAGACGCAUUGCCCGGUAGCUAAGUUCGGGAUCGAUAACCGCUGAAAGCAUCUAAGCGGGAAGCGAGCCUUGAGAUGAGUUCUCCCUGAUACUUUAAGUAUCCUAAAGGGUUGUCGUAGACUACGACGUUGAUAGGCAGGGUGUGUAAGCGUUGUGAGGCGUUGAGCUAACCUGUACUAAUUGCCCGUGAGGCUUAACCAUACUGUGUAAGCGUUGUGAGGCGUUGAGCUAACCUGUACUAAUUGCCCGUGAGGCUUAACCAUACAACACCCAAGGGGUUU